UACGAAGGGGGCAAGCGUUGUUCGGAAUUACUGGGCGUAAAGCGCGCGUAGGCGGCCCUGCAAGUCGGGGGUGAAAGCCCGAGGCUCAACCUCGGAACUGCCUUCGAUACUGCGGGUCUCGAGUCCGGGAGAGGUGAGUGGAAUUCCUAGUGUAGAGGUGAAAUUCGUAGAUAUUAGGAAGAACACCAGUGGCGAAGGCGGCUCACUGGCCCGGUACUGACGCUGAGGCGCGAAAGCGUGGGGAGCAAACAGG
RNAcentral lists this ribosomal RNA (253 nucleotides) under uncultured bacterium. RNAcentral's name for it is "partial 16S ribosomal RNA". It matches the Rfam family "Bacterial small subunit ribosomal RNA", at positions 524 to 776 of the family's 1533-position model. The record is from RNAcentral.